RNAcentral lists this ribosomal RNA (433 nucleotides) under uncultured bacterium. Its description in RNAcentral is "partial 16S ribosomal RNA". It matches the Rfam family "Bacterial small subunit ribosomal RNA", at positions 29 to 507 of the family's 1533-position model. The record is from RNAcentral.
AGCGAACGCUGGCGGCAGGCCUAACACAUGCAAGUCGAACGAACUCUUCGGAGUUAGUGGCGGACGGGUGAGUAACACGUGGGAACGUGCCUUUAGGUUCGGAAUAACUCAGGGAAACUUGUGCUAAUACCGAAUGUGCCCUUCGGGGGAAAGAUUUAUCGCCUUUAGAGCGGCCCGCGUCUGAUUAGCUAGUUGGUGAGGUAAAGGCUCACCAAGGCGACGAUCAGUAGCUGGUCUGAGAGGAUGAUCAGCCACAUUGGGACCGAGACACGGCCCAAACUCCUACGGGAGGCAGCAGUGGGGAAUCUUGCGCAAUGGGCGAAAGCCUGACGCAGCCAUGCCGCGUGAAUGAUGAAGGUCUUAGGAUUGUAAAAUUCUUUCACCGGGGACGAUAAUGACGGUACCCGGAGAAGAAGCCCCGGCUAACUUCGUG